GGGGGAAAGAUUUAUCGCUACUAGAUGAGCCUAUGUCAGAUUAGCUAGUUGGUGGGGUAAUGGCCCACCAAGGCUGUGAUCUGUAGCUGGUCUGAGAGGAUGAUCAGCCACACUGGAACUGAGACACGGUCCAGACUCCUACGGGAGGCAGCAGUGGGGAAUAUUGGACAAUGGGCGCAAGCCUGAUCCAGCUAUGCCGCGUGAGUGAGGAAGGCCUUAGGGUUGUAAAACUCUUUCAGUAGGGAAGAUAAUGACGGUACCUACAGAAGAAGUCCCGGCAAACUCCGUGCCAGCAGCCGCGGUAAUACGGAGGGGGCAAGCGUUGUUCGGAAUUAUUGGGCGUAAAGGGCAUGUAGGCGGUUUGGUAAGUUAAAGGUGAAAUACCAGGGCUUAACCCUGGGGCUGCUUUUAAUACUGCAGGACUAGAGUCCGGAAGAGGAUAGCGGAAUUCCUAG
RNAcentral lists this ribosomal RNA (455 nucleotides) under Anaplasma ovis. RNAcentral describes it as "bacterial SSU rRNA". It matches the Rfam family "Bacterial small subunit ribosomal RNA", at positions 198 to 673 of the family's 1533-position model. The record is from RNAcentral. Lineage: Bacteria; Pseudomonadati; Pseudomonadota; Alphaproteobacteria; Rickettsiales; Anaplasmataceae.